AAAUAUUGAAGUAACAACUAUUAUAUAUCUAUUUUCUAGCUAAUUUAAAUGUGUUUCCUACCUCUGCAUCCCUUUGAGACAUUGUUAUAUAGUAAGAGGUGUAACAAAUAGCAUAUUCCAAAAAGAGAACAUUUUGAAAUAGAUCAACAAAGAUUGCUAAUACAGACCGAGCUUCAGAGCUUGUCAUAUUUGAUGCUCAUAGAAACUCUUCACAGAUUAUUUAAAGCGUGUCCGUUUUUUUGUUGUGUAUUAUUUUCGUAUCAGCUGAAACGGUGAAUGUUUAGAGAGACCAGAGACCAGAGACCAGAGAUGGAGCUAGAUUGUAUCUUGGCAGCAGCUUGGACUUUUGAGCCUAGAAUACCUCCUCAUAUAUAAUGGUAUCUUCUAUUUGGUUGUUUUUGGUUAAUAGUUUAUCUGUAAUACUGGAUGUAGACUCGAAUCCAAUACUAUGUUCCUGUAUAAUGUUUGAUUAUAAUUAAAAUUUGGUUGAUUUAUGCUUCGGCAAAAGAGCAAAUUAA
RNAcentral lists this long non-coding RNA (518 nucleotides) under Daucus carota (carrot). RNAcentral describes it as "long non-coding RNA (DCAR_LNC000250)". Lineage: Eukaryota; Viridiplantae; Streptophyta; Magnoliopsida; Apiales; Apiaceae. The record is from RNAcentral.